AACAGCCGGCCAAGGAAACAAAAGAAACAACUCAAAGCUCUUCAAAUUCCAUCUUCAUUUCUUCAACAAAACACCACCAAACUCCACCAAAAUUGAACCACACCUAGCUAAUCACUUGGUGAUCAUCUUAAGCUAGAAAAGGGGCUUCAUUUCCACAGUUUUCUUGAGCUUCAAAGUGACCAAAAAUUCUGAUUUAGUCAUCAAGAGAGGUAAUAAACGAUCAACCUCUUAAUUCUUGAUUUAUGGAAGUUAGAUUACACUCAUGAGCUCUUGGAUUCUCAUGGGUAGCUUUAAUUUGUUGUAAAAUUGGUGAGUGGGCUCUAUGAACUCCCACUCUUGGAUGAUGGCUGAUGUGAUGAUUAAUGAUGGGUUUAAUGUUGGUUUAGUGCUCAAAAUGGUAGAUUAAUGGUGUAUAACUAGUAGAAACUUCGAGGAGUGCAUGGAGUAAAACGUUCCGAUUUUGCCCCUGCUUUGAUCGUACCCUUUUCUGCAGAAUUUUGAGGGUUUAAUGGCUUGUAUAUGAUGUUUAUAUGUUGUAUAGUUCAUGUAAAAAAUUUCAUUGAAAAAUAUUGAGGUUUGGUAGGUCAAAUGAAUUAUUUUCGUGAAGCUAGUGAACCUGGGAACUGUUCCUGUAAUGCUCAGACAGCUUGCUUGUUUCGUUCGUAACUCUGUACUCCGAUGUCGAAAUUGAGUGCCGUCAGUGGAAUUUGAAACUAGACAUUCCCAGCUUUCCAUUGGUACCAAAUGCACAUUCUAGUUCCACUUGAGUGAGCCACACCAUUCGAUUGAAAAUCACUGUCCUGUUUCGGUUCUCUCCAGGAGACAGGACAGGACUUGUAUCUUGAUGCUAAUAAACGAGCUAUUUGUGGAUAGAAUUUGAAAAUGGUUUCUUCUGAUAAAAUUCAGAUUUAUGAAUGUGUUGUCCAACACCACCAACCAUGCUCAAUUCCAAGUUGAAUUGAGUGAGUUGUGGCCAUAUUUCGAAACUGAUGCAGAGAGUAAAAAUCCUCUUUUAACUAGUUAAAUAGCCUAACUUGAUUUGGGACUUGUUGUUUUGGAAACUUUGAUGUCCAACAUCUACCAAACUUUAUAUUAGAUGUUCCUUGGACUUUGUUUCACAAAUAAACUAUAUUUGGGUUGGUUGCUUUGGACAAAAGGUUUAAAAAGGAAAGAAGAGCUAGAAGACAGUUUUACCUUGGGGAAAUUUCUUGAACUUUGAUGGUUUAGUUAACUACCUUCUCGUGUGAAUUUUCAAAUGAAAUUUUAUAGAAGAGUAAUCUUCGUAUGGAGGUUUAAUUGUGUGAAAUUUGGUAAUAUUCUAAGACCAUUGUGAUAUGCAAAUGAUGUCACAAAAUUCGCUCAUCGAAUCUGGAAAACUUGUCGUUUUCUCUUAGUCAAAUGGUGAAAUCUGAUUUGGGGAGUUUUAUUUCGAAAAUUUGGAUGUCAAUGGUCUUUAAAUUGCUCAGUGGAUGUUUAUGAACUCUUGGUUUCAAUAAUGGAGAGAUUUGGAACUGAUUUCAUGGUACAAAAAGUUUGUAAACAAAAGAAAAGUGAGAAGGUAGUUUAGCCUUAAAACUCUUUAUAAACUUUGGUUGUUUUAAUGACCGCCUUACCGUGAGAGUUUUUGUAUGAAACUUGGUAGAAAUGUUGUUCACACAUGGAAGAUUUAGUGUACCAAGUUUGAUGUAUUUCUAAUGCCAACUCGAUGACCAAAUGAUACUUCGAAUCUAGUCUUCAAACCUUGAAAAUAGCCCAACAGUCUUAACUUUUUCAACAACUUGGGGCUACUAUAUCUUGGUACUCAAAACUCUGAUUCUUGUUUUGCUUAUUGUGUUUUUAAACCUUGUUUGCAACUCUAAUUGAGUUUCAAAUUUCAAAGGUUAGUACAAAACAAGUGAAUUUUGCUGAAUUUCCAAAUUUGGCCAAAAACCAACUUAAAUCUGUCUUGGUAAUUCAAGUUACCAACUUUGAACCAAAAUUUGAGUGCCUUUCACUUACAUUCAUGGAAAAGUGUUUUCUAAUAACUUUUACUACUUUCAAAGAGGUUUCCAAUUGUACCAAUUUUUCCAAUUUUUGACAUGUAGAAUGUGAGAUACGAUUUUUCAAAGUAUCGUAUCAAUCCUGAAAAUUUUUCAAAUUCCAAGGGAAGAGAGUUUUCAAAUACUCCUUAUUCCUUCGAUAUUACUUGAACAUUUUAUACUUGAUUUCCAAAUUGAAAACUCGAUUGCUCAUGUACUUUAAGAAACUCCUCUUGAACCUCGAUUUACGAGUAAUUAAGGUUCAUUUUCAUAAGAUUUCCUUAGAUUGCUCUAGCGUACAAUCUUCCUCGAUAAUUAGAGUUUCGUAGUGAUAUUGAGUGGUACUUGAUUAUUGUUUGCUUAGGCACUCGAGGGAAUCUCCAAGAGAAACUCGGAGCGGACACC
Molecule: long non-coding RNA, 2423 nt
Filed under: Coffea arabica (coffee)
Lineage: Eukaryota; Viridiplantae; Streptophyta; Magnoliopsida; Gentianales; Rubiaceae
Description: long non-coding RNA (CARA_LNC007162)
Source: RNAcentral